UGAUAUUGUAGCUAUCAACUGGUGGGUUGACAGGAUCAUUUCAUAUAUAUAUUAUUAGGGUUUUUAGGGGCGACCAGGCCGAUCCGACACCUAUUCAAAACCGGUUCAAUCCCAGCUAAUUCCCAAUCCGAACACAUGGGUUUUAAAAACAUUGGGAUGUUGGGAAUGUUGAUUUAGAAAUCCCUUGAUUCCUCAUUUGGGAAAAAGGUUUAUUGACAUUUAAAUAUGGUUGGACUGAUUGGAUGCCACCCCAUAUCAUGGUUUACGGAUAUUAAAAAAAAAAAUGACAAUGGUUUGGAGACACUUUGAUAAGUUUAUUUGUAUAGGUAGGUUUAGUUUGAGUAGUAUAUUCAUUUGUGGUCAUCGGAAAAAAAUUUGUAUAGGUAAUAUUUAAAAUUUGGUUAAAGAUAAUCACACACAAACAAAACAUUAUUCAAAUAAGAAAUAAGAAAAAAAGAGUGAAGGAAUAGGGAUUAUAUACAAUGAGACCAUUUACUAUUGUUAUAAGAAAAUAAAUUUUUGAUGUUAAAUGUUAUGUUUCUAUAUUUUGAAAGUAUUUUUUUUGUUUGAGCCUAAUAAUAAAGGCAUAUUAUAAGCCACACAAAUCAUAUUAUGAUCCACUUCCUAAGCCCCUCAAGGAGGAGAGAUCCCAUACAGAAGUUCACUUCUUGACAUGUUGAAGUGAGAGAAAUGUUGAAGGGGGUGACCCCAUAACUAUCUGACAAGACAAAGAGAGAGUGACAGUGAGUGAGGAAGAGAGAGUAAUGCAGGUAUGGAUUUGUAUUUCGUUGCAAGGCGGCAGCCCUAAGACAGAUUGCAGAGAGGUGGAGCAGGGCUGUUGCAAAACAAGAAUUUGAGUUGAGAGAAGAGAGAGAGUGGGGUUGCGUCGGUUGUUGGCUUUAGAGAGAGAAACUCACAGAGUUGUUGCAGCUAGUGAGCGAAAGUGCAGCUAGUGAGAGAGAACAAUGCUCAUGCAGCCAGAGGACCGAAUUUCAGAGAGCUGCACAAAGACCGCAUCAGUUGCAGCUUGAGAGAGUGUAGGACUUGUUGGAAAUGGGCAGUAUUCCUCCAUUCCAAUAGUCUCCUCGUUUUCGCCCUUGAGAUAGUUUCCAUUUUGGCCUGCUUGAUUUCGAGAGAUAGAGAGUAAAGGACACGAGAGAAGAAAAAACAGCUAAACAGAGAUUUAUUUCUAGAGGCAUAAUGUAAUGCAACACAGGAGCAGUGCAAUUGAUUGGGGCUCUUGGGUACAAAUGAUUGGAGCAUUUAUAGGGAGGAAAGGUAGGGAUUGAGAAGGUCUAGAGGCACCAAAGAGAGAGAAGAAAAAUUGAGAGACUUUGGUUUGGGUCAAAAACGAAAAGAGUUUGGUCUUGAGUAGGGUAUUCUAAGUGUUUGACAAAAGCUUCAGGUGAUGGCUGCUUUUGGCUGAUUACUAUAGGUAUAAGGCUACUAAAAACUAACCAAUUGUUUGAGAGUUCGCCUAUGAGAAAACUCCUUUUCAUAAACAUUCGAGUGAAUUUUCAAUACAUACGGGGGAGAGAGGAGUGAUGGAUGGAGGAAGAAGAAGUUAAGGAUGGAGUAAAGCGUCAUUCGUAUGCUCAAAUUUUUCGCUCUUCUACUAGGUUUGAUCAUCGUGUUGAUUCGGUUAUUGUGGUGGGUGAGUCCAACGUAUCAAAUCUAGUGUUGUCAUAUCUUUUCUCUCUAAAGGUACAAACGUUGCGGCUUUUCAGAGAUGGGCAGACAAAUCAUGGACUUCAAUGGGUAGACAAAUCAUGGACUUCAACUGUAAUAAUUCUAAAAAAAAAAAUUUUAAAAAAAAGUAAAAAAUA
This 1826-nucleotide long non-coding RNA is filed under the name Amborella trichopoda. RNAcentral's name for it is "long non-coding RNA (ATRI_LNC004488)". Lineage: Eukaryota; Viridiplantae; Streptophyta; Magnoliopsida; Amborellales; Amborellaceae. The record is from RNAcentral.